CCAUUGGAGCGGCCCGCGUCUGAUUAGCUAGUUGGUGAGGUAAAGGCUCACCAAGGCGACGAUCAGUAGCUGGUCUGAGAGGAUGAUCAGCCACAUUGGGACUGAGACACGGCCCAAACUCCUACGGGAGGCAGCAGUGGGGAAUCUUGCGCAAUGGGCGAAAGCCUGACGCAGCCAUGCCGCGUGAAUGAUGAAGGUCUUAGGAUUGUAAAAUUCUUUCAGCAGGGACGAUAAUGACGGUACCUGCAGAAGAAGCCCCGGCUAACUUCGUGCCAGCAGCCGCGGUAAUACGAAGGGGGCUAGCGUUGCUCGGAAUUACUGGGCGUAAAGGGCGCGUAGGCGGGUCGUUUAGUUAGAGGUGAAAGCCCAGGGCUCAACCCUGGAAUUGCCUUUAAUACUGGCGGCCUUGAGUAUGGCAGAGGUGUGUGGAACUCCGAGUGUAGAGGUGAAAUUCGUAGAUAUUCGGAAGAACACCAGUGG
This 480-nucleotide ribosomal RNA is filed under the name uncultured bacterium. RNAcentral describes it as "bacterial SSU rRNA". It matches the Rfam family "Bacterial small subunit ribosomal RNA", at positions 218 to 715 of the family's 1533-position model. The record is from RNAcentral.